CUUGUCUACUUCGAAUUUUAGUGAACCAACCAUCACUAGCUUUACAUUAAGCUCUUUUAGUUGAUGUUAACCAGGUGUGAAUGAUAUCACUUGUCUAAACAGGACAAAGCUUCAGGGUGGCUAAAUUUGAAAAAGAGAGAAAAAGACCUGAUUGAUUUAUUCUUCUCAAAACUGGUAGAAGCAUAAGGUACUAAGGUGCUCCUGACACUUGCUAAUGUUUCCCUACGACUCCCAGCUAAACUUUUCCCACCUGUUGCCUUGUCACAACAAAAUACCUGUGGACUAUGCACAUUAAAGACCAAGCCUGCCUCUGGCAUUAACAGCACAGAAGACAGCAAGCUGAGCCCCUGAGGUGCCUCCAAGAUGCAGCUGCCAAUUUGCAGAAUUGUCUUGAUAGCUAUUGUGACGAAUAAUGGAAAACUAUGAAGAUACACCUGUGAUGCCAUCAGAAAGAAGACAAUGAGCACAAAGAGUCUCACGUACAUAAAGUACAUCAAGUGCAUCAAGUACAGCUUGGCAGAAUGAGCAGAAUUAAGUGAUACUAGGGCACAAACAGCCUUGACAUGCAUUCAAAGGGAAUAAUUGUACUUAGAUUGGUUUCUGAACAGUUCUCUGGAAUGAAAUGUUGAAUGAAAGUGUUGGGGUGUAACUGUAGUCUGUGGAUUAUUAAAUAAAGAUUGUCAAAGAGUUGUGUAGCA
This 698-nucleotide long non-coding RNA is filed under the name Parus major (Great Tit). Its description in RNAcentral is "lncRNA (ENSPMJG00000015840.1)". The record is from RNAcentral. Lineage: Eukaryota; Metazoa; Chordata; Aves; Passeriformes; Paridae.